AGAAUCAACGCUGGCGGCGUGCCUAACACAUGCAAGUCGAACGCGAAAGGGGAGCAAUCCCUGAGUAGAGUGGCAAACGGGUGAGUAACACGUGGGUGACCUGCCUUCGAGUGGGGGAUAACGGUUCCGAAAGGAACGCUAAUACCGCAUGACAUCCUGCUUUUGGAAAAGCGGAGAUCAAAGCUGGGGAUUCGCAAGAACCUAGCGCUUGAAGAGGGGCCCGCGCCUGAUUAGCUAGUUGGUGAGGUAACGGCUCACCAAGGCUACGAUCA
RNAcentral lists this ribosomal RNA (272 nucleotides) under uncultured soil bacterium. Its description in RNAcentral is "partial 16S ribosomal RNA". It matches the Rfam family "Bacterial small subunit ribosomal RNA", at positions 26 to 282 of the family's 1533-position model. The record is from RNAcentral.